This 253-nucleotide ribosomal RNA is filed under the name uncultured bacterium. RNAcentral's name for it is "partial 16S ribosomal RNA". It matches the Rfam family "Bacterial small subunit ribosomal RNA", at positions 524 to 776 of the family's 1533-position model. The record is from RNAcentral.
UACGGAGGGUGCAAGCGUUAAUCGGAAUUACUGGGCGUAAAGGGUGCGUAGGUGGUUAGAUAAGUUAUCUGUAAAAUCCCCGGGCUUAACCUGGGCAGGUCAGAUAAGACUGUUUGACUCGAGUAUGGGAGAGGGUAGUGGAAUUUCUGGUGUAGCGGUGAAAUGCGUAGAGAUCGGAAGGAACACCAGUGGCGAAGGCGGCUACCUGGCCUAAUACUGACACUGAGGCACGAAAGCGUGGGGAGCAAACAGG